This 253-nucleotide ribosomal RNA is filed under the name uncultured bacterium. RNAcentral describes it as "partial 16S ribosomal RNA". It matches the Rfam family "Bacterial small subunit ribosomal RNA", at positions 524 to 776 of the family's 1533-position model. The record is from RNAcentral.
UACGUAGGUCGCAAGCGUUGUCCGGAUUUACUGGGCGUAAAGAGCGCGCAGGCGGCUGGUCAAGUCCGAUGUGAAAUCUCCCGGCUCAACUGGGAAACUGCAUCGGAAACUGAUCGGCUUGAAGAUGGGAGAGGGUAGUGGAAUUCCCGGUGUAGUGGUGAAAUGCGUAGAUAUCGGGAGGAACACCAGUGGCGAAGGCGACAUCCUGGACCGGUAUUGACGCUGAGGCGCGAAAGCCAGGGGAGCAAACGGG